CCUACGGGAGGCAGCAGUGAGGAAUAUUGGUCAAUGGGCGGGAGCCUGAACCAGCAAAGUCGCGUGAGGGAAGACGGUCCUAUGGAUUGUAAACCUCUUUAGGCGGGGAGCAAUGCCGGGCACGUGUGCCCGGAGGGAGAGUACCCGCAGAAUAAGCAUCGGCUAACUCCGUGCCAGCAGCCGCGGUAAUACGGGGGAUGCGAGCGUUAUCCGGAUUUAGUGGGUUUAAAGGGUGCGUAGGCGGAAUUUUAAGUCAGCGGUAAAAUGUCCGGGCUCAACCCGGGCCGGCCGUUGAAACUGGGGAUCUUGAGUGGGCGAGAAGUAUGCGGAAUGCGUGGUGUAGCGGUGAAAUGCAUAGAUAUCACGCAGAACUCCGAUUGCGAAGGCAGCAUACCGGCGCCCGACUGACGCUGAGGCACGAAAGCGUGGGGAUCGAACAGGAUUAGAUACCCCAGUAGUC
Molecule: ribosomal RNA, 460 nt
Filed under: uncultured bacterium
Lineage: Bacteria
Description: partial 16S ribosomal RNA
Rfam family: Bacterial small subunit ribosomal RNA
Source: RNAcentral